AGCGAGUCCCUAUGGUCACACUUUAACACAAAACAAAACAGAACACAGGAAUAUAGAUUUUAUAGCAGUAGAGCCACUGAGCAAGUUCCCCUUUAACUCGGAGGCAACAACACCGCCCCACUGGUUCACUCCGGGUGCGGAGCCAAGCGCCGCCUCUCAUGAGACUCCAACAUGACAAGCGUUCAAACGUUAACGGUUGACAAGAGAGCAAAAGGGAAUAAUAGAGCAACUUUAAUACUAAAAAGUGUAACAUGUCCAUAAUAUUCAACCAGACGUGACCGUGGUUUUUGAUCAGUAAAGUCGUUAAACUUUGUAAAUCCGGCUGACGCGCUAACCCCGAGCUAACGCAGUGUUGCUAUGAGCAGCUUGACACGCUAGCUGUCCGUGUCGUCUAAAGCCUCCUGUAGAGUUAGCAUUAGUUAGCUUUAGUUAAAACUGAGUCCAGGCCUCCUCUUAACACAUCCCAGCCGAUGUAACUAGACGGGUUGUGGUCGGGCUCUGCGGCAUCUGAGACACAUCUGGUCACUAACAACACUGUCAGCUCCAUCUGAGGCUGAGGAUGGAGAGAAAAGCCACAGCUUUGCAGACACUGUCCAGCUGAGCUGUCUGCAUGAUGAGCUGGAUCUCCACGGCCGAAGACACGAGCAGUGAAGAUGGAGAAGGAGAAUAGUCUGUCUAAGGUGUACCGGCACAGGAGGGGCUUCUGCCACUCUUUAAUCGCUUUAGUCUCUUUUGUCUGAGAGCUGAUGUCUGACUCCUGCAGGAAGAAGAAAAACCAUGAAGCCUUAGUCACAUAAAAAUCUACCUAUUCAUUUAUGAAUCCAACUGUGUCGUUCUUAUGCAUUUUUGAGUAUUUUAGAAAUUAAAUCUAUUUCUGUCCAAGCAUACUGCACUUUUGUUAGAAAAAAAAGUUUGAUGAAUUGAGCUUACCUCGUGGGUGCUCAUCCUUGUCUUAGAUUGUACACAUUUCUUCAUGUCUGUACAGAGUGUCUGUAGUGCCUGCUCCACUUGACUGUCAAAUGAACAAUCUGGAAAUUCCCUAAUUGUCUGGAUUUCAGAGCUGUAGCUCUUCAGGACAGCAAGAAUCUUCACAAUACAGGGCUACAGACAUAAGGAAAGAAGCAUUUAUGUCACCAUCAUUUCUUCUGUAAUUAUCAGCCUAUUGUCAUUAUCGCCUGUUUGUUUCAGAUGCCAUAAUUCCAAGCUGAUAGUGUGAUCUGCAUGUAACAAUAUUUUUUGCAUGUAGCUUACCACCGAGUCCUGUUUGAGACUGUCAGGAUCACACUGGUCCUUGGCUUCCAUCCACUCCAGUGGGCUGGAGAAACGUGUCACAUCUUUGGACCCGUUUCCUGCCUGUGGACCAUUCAAGAAUAUUGCAUUCAUUUUAGCCAUGCACAGCAAAAAUCUUUAAGUGUAAAAAUUAACACAGUGGCAGCAUCUACAUCAGCUCACAGCAUCAGAGUUAAUUUAAACUACUCAUAGCUUUUAAAUCAUUACCACCUGUAAAUGAAUACAAAACUGUGUUCUCUAGAUUACUGUCACAGAAAAAAUGGAAAUUGAAUUGCUUUACAUAGAUCAAGGUAUGCCUCAGAAUAUAGAAAAUAAUAAAAGUGUUGCAAUCUAUAAAAGUUGGAUGUCAUUCAUU
Molecule: long non-coding RNA, 1645 nt
Organism: Myripristis murdjan (pinecone soldierfish)
Lineage: Eukaryota; Metazoa; Chordata; Actinopteri; Holocentriformes; Holocentridae
Exons: 3
Source: RefSeq, a predicted model, not a curated record